UACGUAGGGGGCAAGCGUUGUCCGGAUUUAUUGGGCGUAAAGAGCUCGGUAGGCGGCUCGGUAAGUCGGGGUGUGAAACCUCCAGGCUCAACCUGGAGACGCCACCCGAUACUGCUGUGGCUAGAGUCCGGUAGGGGAGCGUGGAAUUCCUGGUGUAGCGGUGAAAUGCGCAGAUAUCAGGAGGAACACCAGCGGCGAAGGCGGCGCUCUGGGCCGGAACUGACGCUGAGGAGCGAAAGCGUGGGUAGCAAACAGG
RNAcentral lists this ribosomal RNA (256 nucleotides) under uncultured bacterium. RNAcentral's name for it is "partial 16S ribosomal RNA". It matches the Rfam family "Bacterial small subunit ribosomal RNA", at positions 524 to 776 of the family's 1533-position model. The record is from RNAcentral.